Molecule: ribosomal RNA, 429 nt
Filed under: Acidobacteriota bacterium
Lineage: Bacteria; Pseudomonadati; Acidobacteriota
Description: Acidobacteria bacterium partial 16S ribosomal RNA
Rfam family: Bacterial small subunit ribosomal RNA
Source: RNAcentral
UGGGGAAUUUUGGACAAUGGGGGAAACCCUGAUCCAGCCAUCCCGCGUGUGCGAUGAAGGCCUUCGGGUUGUAAAGCACUUUUGGCAGGAAAGAAACGUCAUGGGUUAAUACCCCGUGAAACUGACGGUACCUGCAGAAUAAGCACCGGCUAACUACGUGCCAGCGGCCGCGGUAAUACGUAGGGUGCAAGCGUUAAUCGGAAUUACUGGGCGUAAAGCGUGCGCAGGCGGUUCGGAAAGAAAGAUGUGAAAUCCCAGAGCUCAACUUUGGAACUGCAUUUUUAACUACCGGGCUAGAGUGUGUCAGAGGGAGGUGGAAUUCCGCGUGUAGCAGUGAAAUGCGUAGAUAUGCGGAGGAACACCGAUGGCGAAGGCAGCCUCCUGGGAUAACACUGACGCUCAUGCACGAAAGCGUGGGGAGCAAACAGG